GGGAGUACUCCUGGACCCAGGCCUCACCCUGGUAUCUCAGGUGGAGGCCAUGGCCAGGAGUGCUUUCUGUCAGCUUCAAGCUGCGUCCAUUCCUUGAAGAGGAUGACCUCAUAACAGUGGUGCAUCUGACUGUGCACAAAUAGAUCUGAUCCCGUAUAGAGCCAACUGAAUCAAUUCUCCCGUACAAAUGGGCAGCCCAUAUCAAUUCUAAAAUAAUAGAUUUACAGAAGAGGGAGUUCUACGAAAAAUAGCUUUCAGCUUAGCAGAAAAGAUUUAAAAUGAUGAAACAUCAAAAGGCAAGAAAAUGUCAAGCCUCCUCUUCCUGGACACUACUGUGGAGGUGAACGUUAGGCGUUACAAGGAAAUACAACACAGUUCAUUCCCUGCUGCCAUAUCUGUAUAUUGUCUAAAUGAAAUUGGACACAUUGCCAACAGGCCGUGGUGUUUGUUCCAGGGGAGUAGCUCA
This is a long non-coding RNA of Hemicordylus capensis (graceful crag lizard), 466 nucleotides long. RefSeq lists it as uncharacterized. The transcript has 3 exons. NCBI's taxonomy places the organism in Eukaryota, Metazoa, Chordata, Lepidosauria, Squamata, Cordylidae. The record is from RefSeq and is a predicted model, not a curated record.